GCACGCAACUAGUCUACGAUGUUGAAGAAUCUUCUUAUAAUUGCUUUGGUACUCGCUGUAAUGGGUCUGGCUGUUCAGGGUGCAUCUCAUGCCAAAGCGACGUUCAUGAAGGCGGCCCCUCAGGCUCCACCACCGGAGGGUGAAGAAGCAAGGGAGCAGACUCAGAAAAUAGCGGCCGGGGGACCUAGAGGUGUAUACUAAGUGUACCUACUUCGCCCUUAUCAAGUCCGUUGUAGUGGAAUGUGAAUAAAAUAUUCAUAUAUA
This is a long non-coding RNA of Photinus pyralis (common eastern firefly), 264 nucleotides long. RefSeq lists it as uncharacterized. The record is from RefSeq and is a predicted model, not a curated record. NCBI's taxonomy places the organism in Eukaryota, Metazoa, Arthropoda, Insecta, Coleoptera, Lampyridae. The transcript has 2 exons.